GACGAACGCUGGCGGCGUGCCUAAUACAUGCAAGUUGAGCGAUGAAGAUUGGUGCUUGCACCAAUUUGAAGAGCAGCGAACGGGUGAGUAACGCGUGGGGAAUCUGCCUUUGAGCGGGGGACAACAUUUGGAAACGAAUGCUAAUACCGCAUAACAACUUUAAACAUAAGUUUUAAGUUUGAAAGAUGCAAUUGCAUCACUCAAAGAUGAUCCCGCGUUGUAUUAGCUAGUUGGUGAGGUAAAGGCUCACCAAGGCGAUGAUACAUAGCCGACCUGAGAGGGUGAUCGGCCCCAUUGGGACUGAGACACGGCCCAAACUCCUACGGGAGGCAGCAGUAGGGGAACUUCGGCAAUAGACGGAAGUCUGACCGAGCAACGCCGCGUGAGGGAAGAAGGUUUUCGGAUCGUAAAACUCUGUUGGUAGAGAAGAACGUUGGUGAGAGUGGAAAGCUCAUCAAGUGACGGUAACUACCCAGAAAGGGACGGCUAACUACGUG
This 497-nucleotide ribosomal RNA is filed under the name uncultured bacterium. RNAcentral describes it as "partial 16S ribosomal RNA". It matches the Rfam family "Bacterial small subunit ribosomal RNA", at positions 28 to 507 of the family's 1533-position model. The record is from RNAcentral.